CGAGUUAUAAAACUAAAGAUACAAAAAAAUAAAACUGAAAUCUAAUCUACAAACGGGAUUUUUCUGAAAACGUUAGACUGCGGACACGUGACACGUGGCUAUCACUGGUUUGCUCGAAGCGUUCGCAAAAGGGCUAAAAGGUGGACGAUCUCAAUUUAACUAAUACGAAAAUAACUUACAAAGAACGAACGUGAGGCGGGAGGGAAGAAGAUGACGAUGGUGUGGCAGCUCCGGGGAUCAACGACGUCGGGGAAGUUGUCCAACACAUGCGGGACGUCGAUGGUGACCGAUUUUUGCUGAAGGUGAAGGUUGAUGGUGACCGAAGCGAGGGGGCGUCGAGAUGAACUCCGUGAACUACGACGGCGUUACGACCUCGAGGAGGUCGUUGUAGAUGGAGAAGCGAGAUUAGACCUUGUCAAAAAGAAACUAGGGAUCAAAAGAAGUCGAACUACAAAAGAUGAAGGCCCGGGAUGGCUCACGGGCGUCCAAAUCCGACGAUGAAUCGUAGCUUCUGCCGCGAGAUCCAAACGACGAGGGCGAGAUGUAUUGGUGGUUUUGGCAUGCGAAUUUUAAGGGAAUGAGUUGAGGAGUCUCAAGUAUGUAUUGGACAUCUUACAGGAAGACUAGAGAUAGGAUUUCGAUGGAUAUGAAUCGGAGUAAGUUCAUG
This 667-nucleotide long non-coding RNA is filed under the name Hordeum vulgare. RNAcentral describes it as "long non-coding RNA (HVUL_LNC009695)". Lineage: Eukaryota; Viridiplantae; Streptophyta; Magnoliopsida; Poales; Poaceae. The record is from RNAcentral.